UACAGAGGUCUCAAGCGUUGUUCGGAUUCAUUGGGCGUAAAGGGUGCGUAGGCGGCGCGGUAAGUCGGGUGUGAAAUCUCGGGGCUUAACUCCGAAACUGCAUUCGAUACUGCCGAGCUUGAGGACUGGAGAGGAGACUGGAAUUUACGGUGUAGCGGUGAAAUGCGUAGAUAUCGUAAGGAAGACCAGUGGCGAAGGCGGGUCUCUGGACAGUUCCUGACGCUGAGGCACGAAGGCCAGGGGAGCAAACGGG
This 253-nucleotide ribosomal RNA is filed under the name uncultured bacterium. Its description in RNAcentral is "partial 16S ribosomal RNA". It matches the Rfam family "Bacterial small subunit ribosomal RNA", at positions 524 to 776 of the family's 1533-position model. The record is from RNAcentral.